This 141-nucleotide small RNA is filed under the name Hassallia byssoidea. RNAcentral describes it as "c-di-AMP sequence". It matches the Rfam family "c-di-AMP riboswitch aptamer (ydaO/yuaA leader)". Rfam says of the family: This family represents a conserved RNA structure found upstream of the ydaO and yuaA genes in Bacillus subtilis and related genes in other bacteria. The record is from RNAcentral. Lineage: Bacteria; Bacillati; Cyanobacteriota; Cyanophyceae; Nostocales; Tolypothrichaceae.
UGGGUAAAAUCGCCUAAUUCAAUCUAGCCAAGCUAGAUUAGAAGCGGAGGAACCAGUAAUUGGGGCGAAUCUCUUUUUAGAGAAAGACACCUUCCAGUCUUAGCCCGUCAGCUAACUCCGUCGGCAUUGGGAGGAGUACCU